AGCUCAUCCCCCGGGGCCGCAGAGGCAGGCCAGGCACUGGGGUUCCAGGGACACCUCCGCCCCCUCCACUUUGAGACUGUGAGUACCACCCACCUGGCCCGGGGAGGGGACCUCAGCAGCCCUGAGAAACCUGUGAGGGGCUGGCGACUGUCAGGGCAGCCUGCCGUGGUGAGGGUCUUGGGGGCUGUCGUCAGAGUUUUCACUGUUUCUCAGAGCUGUAUUCUGUGACCCGUUUCUCACUGCCUGGAAUGCACACAGGCUCGCCCUGGGCCCAGGAACACCAGGUGUUUCCCCACAGCCGCAAGGGGAAGUUCUUUAGCUCCCCUGCGCGUUAGACCAGCCCCAGGCCCCAUUAGGGUUGAGAACCAGGGCCCCGCAGCCCACCUGGAUGGCAGGGAGUGUUGGGUCGCUGCCUACGGCCCUCACAACCACCCUGAGAAAGAUGGACUCUUGACAAUGCCCAGUUUACAGCCGAGUAAACUGAGGCCCUCAGAAGUCACACAGAAGUCAGAAGUCCUCAGAGGCCCUCAGAAGUCACACAGUGGCCCAGGGCUCCUGGAGCAUAUUUGGUGUGUUUCCUUCCCACACUGCUGCCCCCCUCAACCCUAUGGUGCAUAAACUUUGAGCAAAUGGAGGUUUAUGGCUGAGGGAACACAAGGCUUCCCCAGGCUGUGUUGAGGAGACACUGCCUUGCAGAAGUCUUCCCUGCCCCAGGCUCGCUGGGGCCAUUUCCCAUCUGGCAGUAGCCCAGUAUGUGUCCCCCCAGGAGCCCCUUGACCCACUGACAAGUUCAGUAUCUUUCUGAAAUGAUCCAGAGUGGAACCUUGAGGAUCUGUAGAUCCCUGGGGCUGGGAGCGUGUUGGGGGAUGUUCCCUGGGUUCUGAGCUGUAACCCCUGAGCCUGACCUCUUGGGGUCCUUGGGCCAACAGCCCCUGGCUCACUGGGGUCAUCAGGGAGUUCAACAGAUGGGUCAGAGGAAGCUUUUACCGACCCAGCCUCAGGGAGCAGCCUGGGAGCUCUCACUCCCAGCCAAGCCUCCCCCACCCCAGCCCUGGCUCUUGGGGGCAGGCAAGACAGAUAGCCCUUUCCUUAGGACUGGAGCCCAACCAGUGGCAGAUGGAAAAAAGGAUGAGCCACAGGUUCUGAUCAGGUGCUGGAACAAACCACCCUUCUUAAGUGAGUCCCCCACGAACUUAGAAUUUGAGACUCACUCAUUGGCCAGGCUCAAUGGCCUCUGUUCUGCUAUCAAGAGGCUGCUGGGAUGUUACCCAUGGCAGGGAUAGAUGGGGAAGUCACCAUAUUCAAAACAAUCAUGUGUUGAAACACCUCCCCAGCUUCUGAUCUACCGGUAGUGGCAGCGGAAGCAAAUACAGCAAAUCUGAAACCCGAUGCCUACAGAACAGGGGUGUGAAAUGUGACGCCAGAGGCCCCCACACAGAAGUGGGUGUGGACAGCCACCUGCCUGUGAGCAACCAGGGGAAGCUAGCUUGGUGCCGAG
RNAcentral lists this long non-coding RNA (1498 nucleotides) under Homo sapiens (human). RNAcentral's name for it is "HSALNT0310435". The record is from RNAcentral. Lineage: Eukaryota; Metazoa; Chordata; Mammalia; Primates; Hominidae.